ACGGGGCGGUGUGCGCUGCGCCUGUCGGGCCGCGGCGGCUGCCUAACCUUGGUAUACAGACAUGCAUCUGUGUGUGCCUCUAAGACGUACGUAUUAACGCAGUUCCAAAAAGCCACCCCCAGUUUGGAGUCACCACUAGUUGGAGACUGCUCCUGAAAAACCCUGUUUGUGUCUCCCAAAACGGGCCCAGCUGGCUGCAUCUCUCGUCUGGAGCAGGCGUCGCUCCGCCUCAUUUCUGCUAGGCCGCAGCACGGCGCACACACCUAUAGGGCAGUGCUAAGGCUUUGGGACUCCAUCGCGUGAAGGUGAGGCUUUGACCCAAGAGCCACGGCUUUGAAGCACGAUGUUUGCAAAGCCUUCGGGACCCACAUCCCCACAGGGGGUUCCUCCAUGCAGCUCCUGCCUCAGCUGUCACCUCUUUCACUCCAUGGCUGGUCUGAAAAAGCACCUAGGAAAUGUUAGUACCAACUUGUAUCUGCUGCCAACGUACGCUGCCUUUGGGCCUACAAUAAAUAACUCGAUUUAAAAAAGAAAAUGUAGAAAGAGAAGACUAACUUAAUGUGCUUCACUUGGGUUAAGGGUAUUUAUCUUAAGCAAUAAAGACUGCAUCUUUUCCCACUGGAGCUUUUCUCGAAGUUAAACCCCGAGCUGUUCUUCCCACCACCUGCAGGAAGAGGAGUUGGGUUCUCCAUUUAGCUUGUUUGCUGCUGAGGAAAAUCAAGGCUCUAGAAACAAGGCCAUUUGUCUCAAGCAAGUGGUUCCUGGUGACCUGCAUGGGUAUACCUGCUUCCAGCCAGCCCUGAGCCACAGGAACAGAGAGGUGUGAGUCACACACAGCAGGCAGUGCAGAAAAGAAGGAGUCUCCACCCAAUGCUGAGGGAAACGGUGUUGUUUAUGCAGCAUUUACAGAGAAACCACCCUGACCUGUGCUGAAAGCAAGAAGGCAGAGUUCCCCUACCCCUCACAAGCACAAAACAUACGGAGCGACAUAGCUUGAAGAAACAGAACAGAGCGACUGCAGCAGCAACACUGAAAUAACACCGCGAGCUGACACCAGACAAAAGCUGUGACUUGACAUGAGCCCACGCCCGGCUGGGGUUCCUUCAACGAGGGUGAAACCAGGAAGACUCCUCGAGCUGAUUUCACAGAGCACCCCGAGCUAGAAGGGCUUUGCAACACCUGCCUCGCCUUCCACCUACCCCGACCACCCCGCCGCCCCCACAGCCCGGCGGGGCCGGGACAAAGCGCUGCCAUUGUCCCCGCUGCCAUUGUCCCCACGCGCGGCCCUUACCGGAGCUGUCCAUGGUGCUGCCGUCGGCGCGGUGCUGCUGCUGCUGCUGCCGCGCGGGGCUCCGGCCGCCCGCCCCCACCGCGCCGGGCCCACCGCCGCCUCCCUCAGCGCCGCUCUCCACCAGCUGCAAAGAUUCAUAGCCGUCACCUCCGGGUUUCUUGCGGUAGCCGCCGAGCAGGCUCAUAGGGGCGAGGCGGGCGGGCAGCCUGCCGUGCCGCCGCGGGCAGGACGGAAGAUGAGCGCUUCGGCCGCCCCGAGGGGAGGAACGGGGCGGGACGGGGCGGCCGCUGAGCUCUGCCCGCCCCCGCGGGCCCGGAAGCAAUCGGAGGGCCGCGGCCGCGAUCCGCGAUCCCGUGGAAAGAAAGAUCUUCACGGAAAAUGGUGCAUCCGUACAUCCUGCGCCCGGCAGCACUGCCAGCUCCCAGCGCGACCCCUAAGCUCAGAGGAGGGUGUACAGCUGGCGGGAGGUUCUUGAUAUAGGAUCACCGAAUGGGUUAGAAAGGACCUCGAACCCAUCCAGUCCCAGCUCCUGCCAUGGACAGCUCCCGUAGCUCCAUCCGUGGCCUUGAGCACCUCCAGGGACGGGGGACCCACAGCUUUCUGGGCAGCGGUGUCAGGGCCUCACCACCCUCGUGGCAAAGCAUUUCCUCCUAACAGACAGCCUAAAUCUCCCCUUAAAGUUCAAAGCCAGUCAGAGAAACAAGGGCGUUGGAAGGGACUUCUGGAGAUCUCCCAGUCCAGUUCUCCCCAGACAGCUGUGCUAGAGCUCUGCCAACUCAGAGUAAAGAUUUUUUUUCCCCAGAAUUCAGGUGGAACCUCCUAUGUUCCAGUUUGUGCCUCUUGUCCUGUCACUGGGCACCACUGAACUGAGCCCACCCCCACCCGCUUGAAUCCCACCGUUAGAUAUUGAUCAGCACUGAUCAGAUCCCCUUCAGCCUUCUCCUCCCUAGGUGAACAGCCCCAGAGCUCUCAGCCUGUCUCCCUCAGGAGGGGCUCCAGGCCCCCACCAUCUGCACUGUCCACAGAGCUCUCCUAGCAGUUCACUGCCCUGAACUGGGCAUCUCUGCUCUGAGCACAGAGCUUCAGCUGUGCCCUACACAGGGCAGAGCAGAGGGGGAGGAUCACCUCCCUUGACCUACUGGUCACACUCUGGGCGAUGCACCCCAGAUCCCAUUGGCCUCCUGGGCCACCAGGGCACACUUCUGUCUCAUAGCCAACCACUGGUAUGGGAAGUCAACCAGAUCCUUCUCUACAGAGUUCCUUGUCAGCACACUAGCCCCUAACCUGUAACAUUCCCCUUCAUCCUACCACUCUCAGACACCCCAAAACCCUGGCAAUGCAGCUGAGUGCUGCACCAGUUAUCUUGUCAGCACUCCUGUAUUCUUGUAGCUGUUCACAUGGGCACAGACUUCAGACCAAUGCAAAGCACAUCCCCCAGCAUGUGAUGAGCCAUGCCUGACUCUGCACACCUGGUAGCAUCCUUCCCUUUCACAUGAGACAGAGGAACUAAGAGAUGCUCCGUAGAAGCAACCAUUAUCAGCUCUUCCAUAUUUAUUUGUUUUUUUAAUUAGAAGAAAAUAAAGGGGGAAAAAAAGUUGGUGCAUCCAGACACAACAGCUGUGCCUUCAGUCUCUUAGAGAGAAAGCACAAAGUGCUCUGCUUAAAAAAAUAGUGUGGGCUUGCUUUGAAAGCAAUAACCAGAACUUGAAAUAUUGCUGAUACUUGGAUUAAACUCUCCUCUCCUCCACUAAAGGACAGUGGGCAUCUGGCACAGCCGUACCUCAUCGCAUGUUUUUGUUUAUGUAACUCCAGCAAUUUUACAUUGUGCUGCAAACAAGGUACAUCUGUGACCCAGAAUUUUCUCAGAAAAUAAACCCGAGCAGAUUUACAAGCAAACAAACUAAAAUGAGUUAACCUGACAUAAGUGGUUCAUGGUAGCAGCUUGAGUUUGAGUUUGCUGCCCUCUCCUUACUGGGCUGUUAAUACAUUGAUGUCUAUGUGUAGGUAGUGAUGCUCGCCAAUAGGAAUGUGCACCCUUCCCUCACAUUGCCCAUUUGCAACACCUUAGUCAAAAAAAAAAAUAAGGUGACUUCCAAAAGUGUGAGCAAAGAAAGAAAAAUAAAAACAAAAAGACACAGGGAAACAGCUGCUUAGAAUAAUUCAUCAACAUCCCCCAAGGUUUAUUGAGUUGCAGCUAAUGAUGCUACCGGAUAAUCCAGGUGUUUUUAUCAUGUGUGCAUGGUGAGGCUGGCAGGUGCCAUCCAUGCUAGGGAGCUAAAGGCUGGGGAGGAAAGAGCUCCUUCCCCACUGCUGACCUCCCAAGGUCACUUAAUAGCCCAGCCCCCAACCCCGUGCUGCCAGCUGGGCUGCAGCUCUCCUGGGCAAAAGUCAGUGUUAGCAGCUGUAAUCGAGCACCAAAUAUCUGAAGGUGCAACUUCAUUUUCUUCCAGCUCUCCCCUAACGAGCUGAGCAGUUAAAGUGAAACAUUAAACUCUUAAUUCCCCAUGAAAACAUCGCAGUGCUGUAAGAACUACAACUAGAGCUUGAAAAUUAAUUUACCAUCCAGGGCGAUACCUCUAAAACUCAAUGAGCUGAACAUUUGUUCAAAGGCAUUCCACUGUGAACCAUGAACCCUCUCAGCACAGAGUGUUUCUGCAGGAGGCCCAGAGCCAGGUGUGACCACACAGAUGAGGGCACACAGUACCAGCAGGGCUGUGCUGGGGCUGCUCUUGUGGGUUGAAAAAUGCAUGUAUUGUUAAGGAAAGCAAGGCUUGCUCAAGCAGCUUAACACCUCAUUCCUCACGUGGUUGGAUCUGGGAGCAACAAUCGCUCUACUCCAGAAAGAAAAAUCGAGCAGAACUUCAUUGCCUGUUUCUUAAAUUCAAGUCUGGAAGUUUCUUUUAAUCUUACCCCCAAGAAAGACCACACUAUCACUGACUGUAAAUAAACAUACAGAGCUCAGAUUUUGUACUUCCACUUCCAAAAAGCCCCCACGCCCCCGGGACAGGACUUCCCUCUUCUCCUUCACUCUCACUCUACUCCAUGCAAUGGGACCCUGGCUCAUCACUAUAUGCUCCAGACAAUUAACAUUUUGGCUUUCCCCAUCUUCAAAGCACUCAAAUCCCAAUCAAACCACCUCAAUUCACAGAGCCCCUGAUUAAGGUUCUCUUCAACAGCUCUUUAAUGAGUAUUCUACAAAAUGGGCUUUCUGGAGAACGAGAGAGGGGAAAAGAAUGAAAAAAUAAAACACAACAGCACUCCUUUAA
This is a long non-coding RNA of Gallus gallus (chicken), 4557 nucleotides long. RefSeq lists it as uncharacterized. NCBI's taxonomy places the organism in Eukaryota, Metazoa, Chordata, Aves, Galliformes, Phasianidae. The transcript is spliced from 3 exons. The record is from RefSeq and is a predicted model, not a curated record.